Molecule: small RNA, 136 nt
Filed under: Arabidopsis thaliana (thale cress)
Lineage: Eukaryota; Viridiplantae; Streptophyta; Magnoliopsida; Brassicales; Brassicaceae
Description: ATSL179360
Source: RNAcentral
AGAUAAGAGGAGAGAGAUGUUUGCAACGACACCGUUUUCUUUGUUUUAGUUAUCUGAUUUGAUACGACAAAGGCCGCCGCGUUUUGGUGAUUUUUUUUUUUUUUUUUUCAAAUAUUUUUUUUUUUGGUUUUUUUAG